This 105-nucleotide small RNA is filed under the name Geobacillus sp. RNAcentral's name for it is "Guanidine-I sequence". It matches the Rfam family "Guanidine-I riboswitch aptamer". From Rfam's summary of the family: This family represents a conserved RNA structure found upstream of the ykkC and yxkD genes in Bacillus subtilis and related genes in other bacteria. Lineage: Bacteria; Bacillati; Bacillota; Bacilli; Caryophanales; Anoxybacillaceae. The record is from RNAcentral.
GAAAAGGUUUUCUAGGGUUCCGCAGCUGCCAGGCCGGCUGGACUGUGACCGAGAGAAAACGCGCGGCGCGGCUCGCGUACACGGAGGGAUAAAAGCCCGGGAGGA